GGGAGCUUGCUCCCUGAUGUUAGCGGCGGACGGGUGAGUAACACGUGGGUAACCUGCCUGUAAGACUGGGAUAACUCCGGGAAACCGGGGCUAAUACCGGAUGCUUGUUUGAACCGCAUGGUUCAAACAUAAAAGGUGGCUUCGGCUACCACUUACAGAUGGACCCGCGGCGCAUUAGCUAGUUGGUGAGGUAACGGCUCACCAAGGCAACGAUGCGUAGCCGACCUGAGAGGGUGAUCGGCCACACUGGGACUGAGACACGGCCCAGACUCCUACGGGAGGCAGCAGUAGGGAAUCUUCCGCAAUGGACGAAAGUCUGACGGAGCAACGCCGCGUGAGUGAUGAAGGUUUUCGGAUCGUAAAGCUCUGUUGUUAGGGAAGAACAAGUACCGUUCGAAUAGGGCGGUACCUUGACGGUACCUAACCA
Molecule: ribosomal RNA, 427 nt
Filed under: Bacillus subtilis
Lineage: Bacteria; Bacillati; Bacillota; Bacilli; Caryophanales; Bacillaceae
Description: bacterial SSU rRNA
Rfam family: Bacterial small subunit ribosomal RNA
Source: RNAcentral